GGAUCUCAAAGAACCGGAUACAUAUAUCGAUUAGGAAAAUAUUUUAUUUCUGGAGCGUCCAUUUGAAAGACUUGAAUGAACGGGUUGAGGAGACCCCAGAGAGAUGAUUGACAGCCGAAGCCGAGACUUAACACAACUGUGAAUCAAUAACUAGGUGCUACUCUAAAAGCCAAUAGGCUUUUGGGUUCUUGGUGCUGAAGACAGAAGAGUCGGACAGUACAGAUAUUCUCAGUGUUGGAGUGAGGCCCUCUCUGUGCUGCAGUGGAGGGCUUCACAGACAUAGCUAGUCUGGCUGGAUGCAUCACGCAGUAGAGCAGUUUGGUGGGCGUGGCACACGGGAUUCCUUCCCUCUGGACGGACUCAACCGGG
Molecule: long non-coding RNA, 369 nt
Organism: Seriola dumerili (greater amberjack)
Lineage: Eukaryota; Metazoa; Chordata; Actinopteri; Carangiformes; Carangidae
Exons: 4
Source: RefSeq, a predicted model, not a curated record